RNAcentral lists this ribosomal RNA (423 nucleotides) under uncultured bacterium. RNAcentral's name for it is "bacterial SSU rRNA". It matches the Rfam family "Bacterial small subunit ribosomal RNA", at positions 358 to 772 of the family's 1533-position model. The record is from RNAcentral.
GGAAUAUUGCGCAAUGGGCGAAAGCCUGACGCAGCCAUGCCGCGUGGAUGAUGAAGGCCUUCGGGUCGUAAAGUCCUUUUCUUAGGGAAGAACAAGUUGGAGAGUGGAAAGCUCCGGCCUUGACGGUCCCUAAGGAAUAAGCAACGGCUAACUCCGUUCCAGCAGCCGCGGUAGUACGGAGGUUGCAAGCGUUGUUCGGAUUUACUGGGCGUAAAGGGAGCGCAGGCGGCCAGGUCAGUCUGAAGUGAAAGCCCGGGGCUCAACCUCGGAAUUGCUUUGGAUACUUCCUGGCUUGAGUACGUGAGAGGCGAGUGGAAUUCCAGGUGUAGCGGUGAAAUGCGUAGAUAUCUGGAGGAACAUCUGUGGCGAAAGCGACUCGCUGGCACGAAACUGACGCUGAGGCUCGAAAGCGUGGGGAGCGAA